CGAACCGUACAAACGUUAUUCGGAAUCACUGGGCUUAAAGGGUGCGUAGGCGGCCAUGUAAGUGAGGUGUGAAAUCCCUCGGCUCAACCGAGGAACUGCGCUUCAUACUGCAUGGCUUGAGGGAGACAGGGGUAAGCGGAACUGAUGGUGGAGCGGUGAAAUGCGUUGAUAUCAUCAGGAACACCGGUGGCGAAAGCGGCUUACUGGGUCUCUUCUGACGCUGAGGUACGAAAGCUAGGGGAGCGAACGGGAUUAGAUACCCCGGUAGUCCUAGCUGUAAACGAUGAGCACUUAUCUGGGGAUCCUCCCAUAGGUUCCCGGAUGUAGCGAAAGUGUUAAGUGCUCCGCCUGGGGAGUAUGGUCGCAAGGCUG
Molecule: ribosomal RNA, 372 nt
Filed under: uncultured organism
Description: bacterial SSU rRNA
Rfam family: Bacterial small subunit ribosomal RNA
Source: RNAcentral